UUUAAGGUGGCGACUGACUAGUAACAUUUCGGUGUAAUGUAUCGUUCGCGGCGAUCGUGUUACAUUACAGUUACAUUACAGCUACGCGGCGAACGCUCGCCCUGAGCGCUCUGUUCGUUUGUGCUCCAUUCUGUUUCAAAAUGUCGGAUAUGGAGGUCGCGUGUGCUUCACUUAUUGUACUAAGUUAUUGCUAUCUAAAAUACAAGAAGAAAAAAACGAAACGAUAUUGGAUAUCUAAUUUGUACCAAAGAAGGAACUAUGAUACGAAUAUAAUGAAUAUUCUUCGAAACCAAGAGUUUACUGGACAAUACAGAAACUUUAUUAGAAUGUCGUCUACCGAUUUCGACCGACUCAUUAAUUUAAUUGGACCGUUAGUGGGCAAGCAAGAUACAAGAUUGAGAAAAGCUAUAUCUGUUACAGAUAGGCUAGCAGUUACACUACGUUUUUACGCUUCUGGAGAUUCUUUUACAAGCUUGCAAUAUCUUUUUAAAAUUUCUAGACAGAGAAUAGGCUUCAUAGUAAAGGAAGUCAGUGAAGCAAUAGUGAAAGUAUUGAAGAAUUGUAUAAAGAUGCCAACAACACCUGAGGAAUGGCAAGGUUUAGUACAACAAUAUGACACAUUAUGGAAUUUCCCCCAUUGCCUGGGCUCUAUGGAUGGCAAACAUGUAAUAAUACAAUCACCGAUGAAUAACUUAGCAGAGCGAGAAGAGUAGUGGAAAACGUAUUUGGUAUAGUUUCAGCAGUUUUUCGAGUGUUAAGAAAGCCUAUGUUAUUAGAACCAAACCACGCCUCUUCAGUAGUAAUGGCAAUAACGCAUCUUCAUAACUAUCUCAGAAAAAGUGAUGAAUCCAGUGACAUUUACACACCUUCAGGGACAUUUGAUCAUGAAAUAGAAGGAGUUGUUAGACCAGGAAAUUGGAGAAACGACAGCGAACUUACAAGCCUUUUCGCUUUGGAGAGGCGACCGCGUAGAACAAGUACAACAGCGAAACAAAUACGCCACG
This is a long non-coding RNA of Cydia splendana, 1004 nucleotides long. RefSeq lists it as uncharacterized. The transcript has 3 exons. NCBI's taxonomy places the organism in Eukaryota, Metazoa, Arthropoda, Insecta, Lepidoptera, Tortricidae. The record is from RefSeq and is a predicted model, not a curated record.